AUUGAACGCUGGCGGAAUGCUUUACACAUGCAAGUCGAGCGGCAGCGCGGCCUUCGGGCUGGCGGCGAGCGGCGAACGGGUGAGUAAUGCAUCGGAACAUGCCCAGUCGUGGGGGAUAACACUUCGAAAGAAGUGCUAAUACCGCAUACGUCCUGAGGGGGAAAGCGGGGGAUCGCAAGACCUCGCGCGAUUGGAGUGGCCGAUGUCAGAUUAGCUAGUUGGUGGGGUAAAGGCCUACCAAGGCGACGAUCUGUAGCUGGUCUGAGAGGAUGAUCAGCCACACCGGGACUGAGACACGGCCCAGACUCCUACGGGAGGCAGCAGUGGGGAAUUUUGGACAAAGGGGGCAACCCUGAUCCAGCCAUUCCGCGUGAGUGAAGAAGGCCUUCGGGUUGUAAAGCUCUUUCGGCAGGAACGAAACGGUGGGCUCUAACAUAGUCCGCUAAUGACGGUACCUGAAGAAGAAGCACCGGCUAACUACGUG
RNAcentral lists this ribosomal RNA (484 nucleotides) under uncultured bacterium. RNAcentral describes it as "partial 16S ribosomal RNA". It matches the Rfam family "Bacterial small subunit ribosomal RNA", at positions 29 to 507 of the family's 1533-position model. The record is from RNAcentral.